RNAcentral lists this unclassified non-coding RNA (258 nucleotides) under uncultured fungus. RNAcentral describes it as "partial contains 18S rRNA, ITS1, 5.8S rRNA". Lineage: Eukaryota; Fungi. The record is from RNAcentral.
GCAGAAGGAUCAUUAGUGAAGAUUUGGGCAGGCCAUACGGACGCCAAAAAGUGUCCCUGGCCGCCUACACCCACUAUACAUCCACAAACCCGUGUGCACUGUCUUGGAGAAAGGCUUCAGAGAAGUUUUUUGUGGCCUCUCUUGGGGUCUUUCUUCGCUACAAACUCGAAUGGUUAGUAUGGACGUGGAACUUGGUUGGACCGUCACUGGCCAACAAACUAUACACAACUUUCGACAACGGAUCUCUUGGUUCUCCCA